Small nuclear RNA from Lemur catta (Ring-tailed lemur), 103 nucleotides. The record is from RefSeq and is a predicted model, not a curated record. NCBI's taxonomy places the organism in Eukaryota, Metazoa, Chordata, Mammalia, Primates, Lemuridae.
GUACUUGCUUUGGCAGCACAUAUGCAUUAGAAUGAUACAGAGAAGAUUAGCAUGGCCCCUGUGCAAGGCUGACCUGCAAAUUGGUGAGGCAUUCCAUAUUUAA